ACGACCAUCAACGUGAGAGUGUGAAAUCCCGACAGAUGGAUGUGAAGUACAUUCACAGCAGGAGCAUGUGCAGAAGAGUGGUGCAGAGCAGGGUGCGGACUCACUGUUAAAGUGAAGGAGAGCUUUGGGCGUGACGGGAGUCGAGAAGAGGCGGAGCAUUCUGAAUGAACAGGUCUGAUUGACGGGACGCCCAUCUGUUGUCCCAGAGUGUUUCCUGUACCGAGCGGUUGUUACCUGUCCCCAGCCGGUAGCCACUGCGGUGAGGGCAAUGCUGCUGACACUCCGCCCUCCUCUCCUGCUCCCACAUUUCUGCCUCGGACUCGG
This is a long non-coding RNA of Ictalurus punctatus (channel catfish), 324 nucleotides long. RefSeq lists it as uncharacterized. NCBI's taxonomy places the organism in Eukaryota, Metazoa, Chordata, Actinopteri, Siluriformes, Ictaluridae. The record is from RefSeq and is a predicted model, not a curated record. The transcript has 4 exons.